This 432-nucleotide ribosomal RNA is filed under the name uncultured bacterium. RNAcentral's name for it is "partial 16S ribosomal RNA". It matches the Rfam family "Bacterial small subunit ribosomal RNA", at positions 29 to 506 of the family's 1533-position model. The record is from RNAcentral.
AGCGAACGCUGGCGGCAGGCCUAACACAUGCCAGUCGAACGAACUCUUCGGAGUUAGUGGCGGACGGGUGAGUAACACGUGGGAACGUGCCUUUUGGUUCGGAAUAACUCAGGGAAACUUGUGCUAAUACCGAAUGUGCCCUUCGGGGGAAAGAUUUAUCGCCAUUAGAGCGGCCCGCGUCUGAUUAGCUAGUUGGUGAGGUAACGGCUCACCAAGGCGACGAUCAGUAGCUGGUCUGAGAGGAUGACCAGCCACACUGGGACUGAGACACGGCCCAGACUCCUACGGGAGGCAGCAGUGGGGAAUCUUGCGCAAUGGGCGAAAGCCUGACGCAGCCAUGCCGCGUGAAUGAUGAAGGUCUUAGGAUUGUAAAAUUCUUUCACCGGGGACGAUAAUGACGGUACCCGGAGAAGAAGCCCCGGCGAACUUCGU